CCUACGGGAGGCAGCAGUGGGGAAUAUUGCACAAUGGGGGAAACCCUGAUGCAGCGACGCCGCGUGAGUGAAGAAGUAUUUCGGUAUGUAAAGCUCUAUCAGCAGGGAAGAAAAUGACGGUACCUGACUAAGAAGCCCCGGCUAACUACGUGCCAGCAGCCGCGGUAAUACGUAGGGGGCAAGCGUUAUCCGGAUUUACUGGGUGUAAAGGGAGCGUAGGCGGUCGAGCAAGUCUGAAGUGAAAGCCCGCGGCGCAACUGGGGGACUGCAGUGGAAACUGCCCGGCUAGAGGGCUGGAGAGGAGAGGGGAGAGCCAUGGGUAGCGGUGAAAUGCGUAGAUAUAGGGAAGAACAUCAGGGGGGAAAGCGGAUAGAUGGUCGGGAACGGACGCUGAGGGGCGAAAGCGUGGGGAGCAAACAGGAGUAGAGACCCCAGUAGUC
Molecule: ribosomal RNA, 440 nt
Filed under: uncultured bacterium
Lineage: Bacteria
Description: partial 16S ribosomal RNA
Rfam family: Bacterial small subunit ribosomal RNA
Source: RNAcentral